Molecule: ribosomal RNA, 479 nt
Filed under: uncultured bacterium
Lineage: Bacteria
Description: bacterial SSU rRNA
Rfam family: Bacterial small subunit ribosomal RNA
Source: RNAcentral
GAUGAACGCUAGCGGCAGGCUUAAUACAUGCAAGUCGAGGGGCAGCAUGACUGUAGCAAUACAGUUGAUGGCGACCGGCAAACGGGUGCGGAACACGUACAGAACCUUCCUUCGAGCGGGGAAUAGCCCAGAGAAAUUUGGAUUAAUACCCCAUAGUACAUUAGAGUGGCAUCACUUUGAUGUUAAAGAUUUAUCACUUGAAGAUGGCUGUGCGGCUGAUUAGGUAGUUGGCGGGGUAACGGCCCACCAAGCCUGCGAUCAGUAACUGGUGUGAGAGCACGACCAGUCACACGGGCACUGAGACACGGGCCCGACUCCUACGGGAGGCAGCAGUAAGGAAUAUUGGUCAAUGGACGAAAGUCUGAACCAGCCAUGCCGCGUGGAGGAUGAAGGUCCUCUGGAUUGUAAACUUCUUUUCGGGGAGACGAGAAAGGACGGUAUCCCCGGAAUAAGCCACGGCAAACUACGUGCCAGCAGCC